RNAcentral lists this ribosomal RNA (669 nucleotides) under Triticum aestivum (bread wheat). Its description in RNAcentral is "partial small subunit ribosomal RNA". The record is from RNAcentral. Lineage: Eukaryota; Viridiplantae; Streptophyta; Magnoliopsida; Poales; Poaceae.
AUGGCGAGCAUCUUCUGGGGCGGCGCCCAGGCCGACGAGGUGGCCGACUUCGACGAGCACGACCCCACCCCCUACGGCGGCGGCUACGACAUCACCCUCACCUUCGGCCGCGCCCUCCCGCCCUCCGACGAGAUCUGCUACCCCAUCUCCACCGCCUCCACCUCCUCGUCCUCGUACGACAGCCACGGCGCGGCCGAGCAGCAGCGCAGGAGGCCGCAGGACCAGGACAGCCACGGCUCCGCAGGUCACGGGAGGAGGCCGGAGGAGACACACGGCUCCUCUGCUGGUUACGGGCAAGGGAGGAAGGCGCACGACGACGACGACGACCGGCCCAGCUACGGCCGCAAGAAGAAUGAUGACGACGAUGACGAGGAUAGGCAGCGGCGAUACAAGAAGCGCGACGACGACGACGAUGAUGAGAGGAAGCCACGGCACAAGAAGCACGACGAUGAUGACGACGACGAUGGCGAGAGGAAGCCGCGGUACAAGAAACGUGACGACGACGAUGAUGAUGAGGAUGACAGGAAGCCGCGUUACAAGAAGCGUGACGACGACGACGACGAUGAUAGAAAGCCACGUUACAAGAAGCACGACGACGAUGACGACGACGACGAUGAGAGGAAGCAGCGUCGCGGGAACAACCGCCGCCGCCAUGAUUACGAUGACUGA